RNAcentral lists this ribosomal RNA (1395 nucleotides) under uncultured bacterium. Its description in RNAcentral is "partial 16S ribosomal RNA". It matches the Rfam family "Bacterial small subunit ribosomal RNA". The record is from RNAcentral.
AGAGUUUGAUCCUGGCUCAGAUUGAACGCUGGCGGCAGGCCUAACACAUGCAAGUCGAGCGGUAGAGAGGUGCUUGCACCUCUUGAGAGCGGCGGACGGGUGAGUAAUACCUAGGAAUCUGCCUGGUAGUGGGGGAUAACGUUCGGAAACGGACGCUAAUACCGCAUACGUCCUACGGGAGAAAGCAGGGGACCUUCGGGCCUUGCGCUAUCAGAUGAGCCUAGGUCGGAUUAGCUAGUUGGUGAGGUAAUGGCUCACCAAGGCUACGAUCCGUAACUGGUCUGAGAGGAUGAUCAGUCACACUGGAACUGAGACACGGUCCAGACUCCUACGGGAGGCAGCAGUGGGGAAUAUUGGACAAUGGGCGAAAGCCUGAUCCAGCCAUGCCGCGUGUGUGAAGAAGGUCUUCGGAUUGUAAAGCACUUUAAGUUGGGAGGAAGGGCAUUAACCUAAUACGUUAGUGCUUUGACGUUACCGACAGAAUAAGCACCGGCUAACUCUGUGCCAGCAGCCGCGGUAAUACAGAGGGUGCAAGCGUUAAUCGGAAUUACUGGGCGUAAAGCGCGCGUAGGUGGUUUGUUAAGUUGAAUGUGAAAUCCCCGGGCUCAACCUGGGAACUGCAUCCAAAACUGGCAAGCUAGAGUAUGGUAGAGGGUAGUGGAAUUCCAUGUGUAGCGGUGAAAUGCGUAGAUAUAUGGAGGAACACCAGUGGCGAAGGCGGCUCUCUGGUCUGUAACUGACGCUGAGGCUCGAAAGCGUGGGGAGCAAACAGGAUUAGAUACCCUGGUAGUCCACGCCGUAAACGAUGAGUGCUAAGUGUUGGAGGGUUUCCGCCCUUCAGUGCUGCAGUAAACGCAUUAAGCACUCCGCCUGGGGAGUACGACCGCAAGGUUGAAACUCAAAGGAAUUGACGGGGGCCCGCACAAGCGGUGGAGCAUGUGGUUUAAUUCGAAGCAACGCGAAGAACCCUACCAGGUCUUGACAUCCUUUGACCACUCUAGAGAUAGAGCUUUCCCUUCGGGGACAAAGUGACAGGUGGUGCAUGGUUGUCGUCAGCUCGUGUCGUGAGAUGUUGGGUUAAGUCCCGCAACGAGCGCAACCCUUAUUGUUAGUUGCCAUCAUUUAGUUGGGCACUCUAGCGAGACUGCCGGUGACAAACCGGAGGAAGGUGGGGAUGACGUCAAAUCAUCAUGCCCCUUAUGACCUGGGCUACACACGUGCUACAAUGGGAAGUACAACGAGUCGCUAGACCGCGAGGUCAUGCAAAUCUCUUAAAGCUUCUCUCAGUUCGGAUUGCAGGCUGCAACUCGCCUGCAUGAAGCCGGAAUCGCUAGUAAUCGCGGAUCAGCACGCCGCGGUGAAUACGUUCCCGGGCCUUGCACACACCGCCCGUCA